CACAUGUGACGAGUUUGAUCCUGGCUCGGAACGAACGCUGGCGGCAUGCCUAACACAUGCAAGUCGAACGAAGCCUUCGGGCUUAGUGGCGCACGGGUGCGUAACGCGUGGGAACUUACCAUCAGGUUCGGAAUAACAGUUAGAAAUGACUGCUAAUACCGGAUAAUGUCUUCGGACCAAAGAUUUAUCGCCUUUUGAUGGGCCCGCGUAAGAUUAGGUAGUUGGUGGGGUAAAGGCCUACCAAGCCGACGAUCUUUAGCUGGUCUGAGAGGAUGAUCAGCCACACUGGGACUGAGACACGGCCCAGACUCCUACGGGAGGCAGCAGUGGGGAAUAUUGGACAAUGGGCGAAAGCCUGAUCCAGCAAUGCCGCGUGAGUGAUGAAGGCCUUAGGGUUGUAAAGCUCUUUUACUGGGGAUGAUAAUGACAGUACCCAGAGAAUAAGCUCCGGCUAACUCCGUG
Molecule: ribosomal RNA, 462 nt
Filed under: uncultured bacterium
Lineage: Bacteria
Description: bacterial SSU rRNA
Rfam family: Bacterial small subunit ribosomal RNA
Source: RNAcentral